Molecule: ribosomal RNA, 491 nt
Filed under: uncultured bacterium
Lineage: Bacteria
Description: partial 16S ribosomal RNA
Rfam family: Bacterial small subunit ribosomal RNA
Source: RNAcentral
AGUGAACGCUGGCGGUAGGCCUAACACAUGCAAGUCGAACGGCAGCACAGUAAGAGCUUGCUCUUACGGGUGGCGAGUGGCGGACGGGUGAGGAAUACAUCGGAAUCUACUUUUUCGUGGGGGAUAACGUAGGGAAACUUACGCUAAUACCGCAUACGACCUACGGGUGAAAGCAGGGGAUCUUCGGACCUUGCGCGAUUGAAUGAGCCGAUGUCGGAUUAGCUAGUUGGCGGGGUAAAGGCCCACCAAGGCGACGAUCCGUAGCUGGUCUGAGAGGAUGAUCAGCCACACUGGAACUGAGACACGGUCCAGACUCCGACGGGAGGCAGCAGUGGGGAAUAUUGGACAGUGGGCGCAAGCCUGAUCCAGCCAUACCGCGUGGGUGAAGAAGGCCUUCGGGUUGUAAAGCCCUUUUGUUGGGAAAGAAAAGCAGCAGGUUAAUACCCCGCUGUUCUGACGGUACCCAAAGAAUAAGCACCGGCUAACUUCGU